CCUGAUAGCUCAGUGGUAAAGAAUCUGCCUGCAAUGCAGAAGACCUGGGUUGGAUCCCUGGGUUAGGA
This 68-nucleotide transfer RNA is filed under the name Bos taurus (domestic cattle). It matches the Rfam family "tRNA". Rfam says of the family: Transfer RNA (tRNA) molecules are approximately 80 nucleotides in length. Their secondary structure includes four short double-helical elements and three loops (D, anti-codon, and T loops). RNAcentral also lists the same sequence under 4 other names. Lineage: Eukaryota; Metazoa; Chordata; Mammalia; Artiodactyla; Bovidae. The record is from Rfam by way of RNAcentral.